RNAcentral lists this unclassified non-coding RNA (334 nucleotides) under soil metagenome. RNAcentral's name for it is "partial contains 5.8S ribosomal RNA, internal transcribed spacer 2, and large subunit ribosomal RNA". The stretch from base 1 to 120 matches the Rfam family "5.8S ribosomal RNA", at positions 35 to 154 of the family's 154-position model. The record is from RNAcentral.
GAUGAAGAACGCAGUGAAAUGCGAUAAGUAAUGUGAAUUGCAGAAUUCAGUGAAUCAUCGAAUCUUUGAACGCACAUUGCGCCCGCCAGUAUUCUGGCGAGCAUGCCUGUUCGAGCGUCAUUUCAACCAUCAAGCCCCAGGCUUGUGUUGGAGCCCUGCGGCUGCCGCAGCCUCCCAAAACCAGUGGCGGGCUCGCUAUCACACCGAGUGCAGUAGUUUACUCUUCGCUCAGGGCGUGUGGCGGGUGCUAGCCGUGAAACCCCCACCUUCUCAAGGUUGACCUCGGAUCAGGUAGGAAUACCCGCUGAACUUAAGCAUAUCAAUAAGCGGAGGA